UGUAUACAACCGUUCUAAGUUCGAGGAAAAUUCAAAACAGAAAGUCCUUAAUCAAAUGUCAAAAUCAAAAGCUCAAACGCAUCAAACGAAAGGAUACUUACUAUCUGUCAGUUUCUGACUUAGUCAUGUUUGUGUAGACAUUUUCUUACGAAGAACAUGCUGGAUUAAACCUGGUUUUAUAGCAAGCGAAACAAAGAAACAAAAAAAAAAAAGUCAUAUAGACAAAGUACAUAAGAAAAAAAAGAAAAACAAGAAUAAAAAAAAAAUAAUACCAUAGCACUAUAACACAAUGACGGGAUGUACAAGUAUAUAUAUAUCAUGUAUAUCAUGUAUAUAGUACCACGUCAUAUGUAACAAAGAAACAAAAAAGGCAUAUAGCCAAAGCACAUAAGCAAAAAUGAAGACUAGAAAACAAAAAAAGUACUAUAAAACAAUAACACAAUGACGGGAUGUAUAAUAACAGAGCAACGUCAUAUAUGUAAAAACAAUAACACAAUGACAGGAUGAAUAAGUACAGAGCCACGCCCC
This 528-nucleotide long non-coding RNA is filed under the name Mytilus galloprovincialis (Mediterranean mussel). Lineage: Eukaryota; Metazoa; Mollusca; Bivalvia; Mytilida; Mytilidae. The record is from RNAcentral.